RNAcentral lists this ribosomal RNA (495 nucleotides) under uncultured bacterium. RNAcentral's name for it is "partial 16S ribosomal RNA". It matches the Rfam family "Bacterial small subunit ribosomal RNA", at positions 28 to 507 of the family's 1533-position model. The record is from RNAcentral.
GAUGAACGCUGGCGGCGUGCCUAAUACAUGCAAGUAGAACGCUGAAGGAGGAGCUUGCUCUUCUGGAUGAGUUGCGAACGGGUGAGUAACGCGUAGGUAACCUGCCUGGUAGCGGGGGAUAACUAUUGGAAACGAUAGCUAAUACCGCAUGACAACAGUUAUUGCAUGAUAACUGUUUAAAAGGGGCAACUGCUCCACUACCAGAUGGACCUGCGUUGUAUUAGCUAGUUGGUGAGGUAACGGCUCACCAAGGCGACGAUACAUAGCCGACCUGAGAGGGUGAUCGGCCACACUGGGACUGAGACACGGCCCAGACUCCUACAGGAGGCAGCAGUAGGGAAUCUUCGGCAAUGGACGGAAGUCUGACCGAGCAACGCCGCGUGAGUGAAGAAGGUUUUCGGAUCGUAAAGCUCUGUUGUAAGAGAAGAACGAGUGUGAGAGUGGAAAGUUCACACUGUGACGGUAUCUUACCAGAAAGGGACGGCUAACUACGUG